RNAcentral lists this long non-coding RNA (338 nucleotides) under Setaria viridis. Its description in RNAcentral is "long non-coding RNA (SVIR_LNC007843)". The record is from RNAcentral. Lineage: Eukaryota; Viridiplantae; Streptophyta; Magnoliopsida; Poales; Poaceae.
UUUUGUAGUGCUAAGGUAUGAAUUUUUGUACAUAGAUAGCUUCUGCUGCUGGAGGAAGUGGUGAUGAUGGGGCAAUCGUCGUUCCUCUUGCGGCAAGGGGAAAACCAUAGUUGGCCCUCAAGAUAAGCCGAAGAAAAUAAGCACGUUGGAGAAAGUAAUGCUUCGUUAUUUGUAGAAAUGUCAUGAAGAUGCUAUUGCGGUGGGUCAAGAACCUCCUUUUGGUGGUCGUUAUGCUCCACCGUUAGUCUCAGGUGUUUCACGUUCACUUAGUACUACCGUUUCAGGAGGCACAAAUAAACCACAUGAUGAGGCUGGGUCAGUGGAACCUUCGUCUUCAC